UACGGAGGGUGCAAGCGUUAUCCGGAUUUACUGGGUUUAAAGGGUGUGUAGGCGGGCUUUUAAGUCAGCGGUGAAAUCUCCGGGCUCAACCUGGAAACUGCCAUUGAUACUAUUAGUCUUGAAUUUUGUUGAGGUAGGCGGAAUAAGUCAUGUAGCGGUGAAAUGCAUAGAUAUGACUUAGAACACCGAUUGCGAAGGCAGCUUACUAAGCAAAUAUUGACGCUGAGGCACGAAAGCGUGGGGAGCAAACAGG
This 253-nucleotide ribosomal RNA is filed under the name uncultured bacterium. Its description in RNAcentral is "partial 16S ribosomal RNA". It matches the Rfam family "Bacterial small subunit ribosomal RNA", at positions 524 to 776 of the family's 1533-position model. The record is from RNAcentral.